GAUGUUAUUGUGCUCACUUCAGCAGCACAUAUUGGAAUGAUACAGAGAAGAUUAGCAUAGCCCCUGUGCAAGGACAAACAAGUAAAUUUGUGAAGCAUUCUUUUUUCUU
Molecule: small nuclear RNA, 109 nt
Filed under: Catagonus wagneri (Chacoan peccary)
Lineage: Eukaryota; Metazoa; Chordata; Mammalia; Artiodactyla; Tayassuidae
Source: RNAcentral